This 253-nucleotide ribosomal RNA is filed under the name uncultured bacterium. Its description in RNAcentral is "partial 16S ribosomal RNA". It matches the Rfam family "Bacterial small subunit ribosomal RNA", at positions 524 to 776 of the family's 1533-position model. The record is from RNAcentral.
UACGAAGGGGGCUAGCGUUGCUCGGAAUCGCUGGGCGUAAAGGGUGCGUAGGCGGGGCUUUAAGUCAGGGGUGAAAUCCUGGAGCUCAACUCCAGAACUGCCUUUGAUACUGAAGAUCUUGAGUUCGGGAGAGGUGAGUGGAACUGCGAGUGUAGAGGUGAAAUUCGUAGAUAUUCGCAAGAACACCAGUGGCGAAGGCGGCUCACUGGCCCGAUACUGACGCUGAGGCACGAAAGCGUGGGGAGCAAACAGG